UACGGUGAAUACGUUCCCGGGCCUUGCACACACCGCCCGUCAAGCCAUGGAAGCUGGGUGUACCUAAAGUCGGUAACCGUAAGGAGCCGCCUAGGGUAAAACUAGUAACUGGGGCU
This 116-nucleotide ribosomal RNA is filed under the name uncultured bacterium. RNAcentral describes it as "partial 16S ribosomal RNA". It matches the Rfam family "Bacterial small subunit ribosomal RNA", at positions 1358 to 1482 of the family's 1533-position model. The record is from RNAcentral.